Molecule: RNA transcript, 5724 nt
Organism: Oncorhynchus kisutch (coho salmon)
Lineage: Eukaryota; Metazoa; Chordata; Actinopteri; Salmoniformes; Salmonidae
Gene: kcnc2
Gene name: potassium voltage-gated channel, Shaw-related subfamily, member 2
Exons: 5
Source: RefSeq, a predicted model, not a curated record
CAUGUUUCUCAGUCAAGCAAUCUGACCUGUUGAGAACACUCACGUUCAACAUCUUAUUUCGGCGAAUCAUAAAAGCUGAAAAAAGUUGCACUAGAUAUUCGUUAGCAUAGAUUUGAACUAUUUUGAUUGCCAAUCCAAAUGUAAUGAGUGAUCGUUGCUACAUAGCAACAUGAGCACGUGUGAGAGGAUCGCUAGUAACACGGACGCACACACUAUAGCAACAGACAACCUGUGUGCAGAAAGGGAGAGGGUGUGCCCUUGACGUCGUUUCUCGUCAAAUACUCACAUUUCGGAGAGAACCAUAUCCAGGUUUGCUUACUUGCUAUUCACCACGGCAUUGUCAUGACUUUAACGAAAAGGGCACAGAGCUCAAGGUUACAAAUCAAUAAUUGGAAUGGUUUCGUUUGACUUCACCUGUCCAAGUGUGGAGCGGAGAAGAGAGUCAAGACACCCCCAAGGCACACAUCACCAGCGCUGCCUGUGCUUGGAGCUACUGGCUGACAGAUCCUUCGCAUAAGGAGGAACUAGAGGGAGUCUGACAAGCGAUAAGAUCCUCUCUUCCAAAUCACCAACAACGAUGAGAUUGGUAAAGCACCUUCACCAAGCGUAAUGAGAGCUCCAGGCGGAAUCUGGAGUGGCUGCUCUAAGCUGAAUCCAAAAGAGUUUUCGUGAGAUUUUCUAACCCAACUGGGUGUGUACAGCACCGUGCCCGCUGUUACUCUGGACUGCACUCGAUAUACCUUAUUUACCAAGUCAUGUCUUAUACAGAGCGAUGGGUAAGUUCGACGACAACGAGAGGAUAAUCCUCAACGUUGGGGGAACCAGGCACGAGACGUACAAGAACACGCUGAGGACACUGCCGGGGACUCGGCUGGCCCUUCUUGCCUCCGAUUCUGACAUCGAGUCCGUUUUGGAUCAGCUGCAACAAGUCCCCGGCUUCAUAGAGUACAACACGCGGAACAACGAAUACUUUUUUGACCGCCACCCAGGGGUAUUCGCUUAUGUCCUUAACUACUAUCGAACCGGGAAACUCCAUUGCCCAGCAGAUGUUUGUGGUCCGCUGUUCGAGGAAGAGCUGUCCUUCUGGGGAAUCGAUGAGACGGACGUGGAGCCUUGCUGCUGGAUGACCUAUCGCCAACACAGGGACGCCGAGGAGGCGCUCGAUGUGUUCGACAUAAACGUUGACAAUGGAGACGACGACGAAGAGACGGGGAAAAGACUCGGCAUUGAGGACGUGGUUGAUCCUAAUAUCAGCCGUUGGAAAAAGUGGCGACCUGUGAUUUGGAAUCUAUUUGAGGAUCCCUAUUCUUCCAGAGCGGCCAGGUUUGUGGCCUUUGCCUCCUUGUUCUUCAUCCUGGUCUCGAUCACCACCUUCUGCCUGGAGACCCAUGAGGCAUUCAACACCAUCACCCUCAUCAACAAGUCUGAGGCGGUGCUCAACGGCAGCCUGCCGGACCUGGGUCCUGAUUACAUUAUCGAGACGGACCCAGCUCUCACCUACGUGGAGGGUGUCUGCGUUCUUUGGUUCACCCUGGAGUUCAUGGUGCGUGUCAUCUUCAGCCCAGACAAGCUGGAGUUUGUCAAGAGCCUGCUCAACAUAAUCGACUUUGUGGCUAUCCUGCCUUUCUACCUGGAGGUAGGCUUAAGCGGACUGUCAUCUAAAGCAGCUAAGGACGUCUUGGGCUUCCUCAGAGUGGUAAGGUUUGUCAGGAUCCUGCGUAUCUUCAAGCUGACGCGACACUUCGUGGGGCUGCGGGUCCUGGGUCACACCUUGAAGGCUAGCACCAACGAGUUCCUCCUCCUCAUCAUCUUCCUCGCCCUAGGUGUGCUUAUCUUCGCCACCGCAAUCUACUACGCCGAGCGCAUCGGCGCCAACCCCAACGACCCCACGGCUGGCGAACACACCAUGUUCAAGAACAUCCCCAUCGGCUUCUGGUGGGCCGUGGUCACCAUGACCACGCUGGGUUAUGGUGACAUGUACCCGCAGACGUGGUCGGGCAUGCUGGUGGGCGCACUGUGCGCCCUGGCGGGCGUGCUGACGAUAGCCAUGCCUGUGCCCGUCAUCGUCAACAACUUUGGAAUGUACUACUCGCUGGCCAUGGCCAAGCAGAAGCUUCCCAAGAAGAGGAAGAGGCACAUCCCCCAGGUCGCACUGGGGGGAUCCCCAACCUGCCUCAAAGUAGACCUCAACACCACCUGCAACAGCCCCCAGGGGGACCUCUGCAACAUGCAGGGGAGUAGGGUGCUGGAGCGCAACCAAUCAGUGCUGUCAGGGGACGGCAGUGGAGGCAGUGAUCUCACCAUGUCCCCCAGCACAGAGGAGAGGGUCCCCAUGCGCAGGUCCAGCACCCCAGAGCAGGAGCGGAGGAGUGGGGGGACGUGCUUCCUGCUGGCUGCCAGUGACUACACCUGCCCUGCCGACGGUGGGGUCAGGAAGACAGGCUGUGAGAAAUCCCCAAGCUUAAGCAACAUAGCGGGCUUGGCUGGUAACGCCCUGAGGCUGUCUCCAGCGACCUCACCCUACAGUUCACCGUGCCCCCUGAGGCGUUCCCGCUCCCCAAUACCAUCCGUCCUGUGAGGCCCGGCCCAGAGCGAGGCUUGCCUUCCGUCUGAGCACACUCCCCUCCCCCACCCCCAAAACACCCGACAGAAGCCAGCUUCAUAGGCGUUAGCUCUCUGUAGCAUCCUGGAAUCAUAUAAUAUACUUUGUGAAUGUUGUUAGCUACUUUAGAGACUAACCUUAGUGGGUUCGACCACAGACUAACCCUGCUCUUCUCCUCUUCCAUACAAACAUAGCUUUGAACUGUAGAUGUGGUGACCACCCCUGAAGUAGCUUAGCUGUGCAUCACUUUGAAUUCCCAUUACUUCACUUUUGUUGUACUUUAAUAAUGGCAAUAAAAGGACUCUUGAAUGGUGGCUCUAAAAGUAGCAGCCACAACAUUUAGUAAAUACGUAUUCAUAAUCAGGGAGAUUUACAUGUUGCUGUAUUUACAUACUUAGAACAUACGUGCUUCCAUAAAAAAUAAGAAAAAUGUCACUUUAUUUUGUGUGUGUGGGGGGGGGGGAGAACUUGUCAUGGACUAUGUCUUGAUUCACACGCUCUCACCUGUCACCCUCUCGCUCUCACCUGUCACUCUCUAGCUCUCACCUGCCACCCUGUCACUCUCACCUGCCACCCUGUCACUCUCACCUGUCACCCUCUAGCUCUCACCUGCCAUCCUCUCGCUCUCACCUGCCACCCUCUCGCUCUCACCUGUCACUCUCUCGCUCUCACCUGCCACCCUCUCGCUCUCACGUGCCACCCUCUCGCUCUCACCUGUCACUCUCUCGCUCUCAAAUGCCACCCUGUCGCUCUCACCUGCCAUCCUCUCGCUCUCACCUGCCACCCUCUCGCUCUCACCUGUCACUCUCUCGCUCUCACCUGCCACCCUCUCGCUCUCACGUGCCACCCUCUCGCUCUCACCUGUCACUCUCUCGCUCUCACCUGCCACACUGUCGCUCUCACCUGCCACCCUGUCGCUCUCACCUGCCACCCUGUCGCUCUCACCUGCCACCCUGUCGCUCUCACCUGCCACCCUGUCCCUCUCACCUGCCACCCUGUCGCUCUCACCUGCCAUCCUGUCCCUCUCACCUGCCACCCUGUCGCUCUCACCUGCCACCCUGUCCCUCUCACCUGCCACCCUGUCACUCUCACCUGCCACCCUGUCACUCUCACCUGCCACCCUGUCGCUCUCACCUGCCUCUGGCUGGGCCCCGUCAUCCUGUUUGCAUGGAUCAUCCUGUGUAAUCAUCUGCCAGCGGUGUGGUGAGAAAGAGAGAAGGAGAGAUCAAAACUAAAGAGAAGACAGGUUAGAAACGGUGGGCCUGGGCCGUGGGAAUGUGCAUGGGACUUGUGUGUCUGCAUCGUGCCAUUGGCCUCCACCUGGGGGACUGAACACACAACAUAAAAUGCACAACAGUGUUUUUCUGUUUUCUCUGCAUGUGGGCUAUGCUGGUUUGCUACUGUUUCAAAUGUUUUACUGUGAUCUUAUUUAAUUGUCAAUCGCUGUGUUGCCAAGCUGAAGUGUCUCUGAUAUUGUUUACUCACAGAUAACUGCAAAGAGAUUGUCUUUACUGGUUUCACGCAAGCAGAGAGCAGCAUUCUUUAAUUGCUGGGGGAAGGCACAUCCCUGGUGGAAAGCCGUUUACGUGUCCUAUUGGAAUGACUGCCGUCAUCAGCCAAUCAGUGGACUAACAAGACCUAUUGGUGUGUGGAUCCUGUUGGAUCACAUAGCGUCACUCAAGGACGUGAACCAACCAGAACACUCACAUCGGUGAAGGAUUGUUGACUGACAAGCGUCAGGUCCAAUGACGCUGCCUGGGAAAACAGGAACUGUCCAAGACUGAGGUCAAUUGGAAUUCUGGGAAUAGAUGGGACAGGGGGAGUUGUAUUUUUCCCAGAUUCUCAAUGUCAUGGAUAUUGAGUGAAGCAUAAAACUGAAGAAGAAAAAGGACCCUUCUUGGAAGACGAGGCCAGCUGCUUCAUCUAGAUAUUGUGUUUGUAAAUAAUAACAUGAUACAGCACAUGGGUCAAGGAGCUCCUCUCUCUCUCAUCUGUCCUCUGGAUUGCGAGCCAGGUACAAGGUCAUGACCUCCAUAUCAAUCAGUCUCCGUGGUUUCCCUCCUCGUAAUCAGUGUUAUAAUGAUGCAUCAGACACUACGUGUUCUGAAAAUUGACUGAUUUAAUAUGUGAAUUCUGCUUCAUAUACAGUGAAGAGAGAAUAACGUGGGAUAAGUUGAAUAAAUGUGACAUAGGGUUUCAUCAAUGCUUUUGUUUCCCUUAGACGUUUUGGUGGAUUCCAUGACAUUGCUGUGGUGUGCGUUUACAUGCGUGUGUUUUGAAUUCCAGGGUAACAUCUAGACAACAUGCAGUUGUAAAGCAGAAAAAUGAAAACCUAUAAGAGACCCAUUACACUCUUCCAGCUAGUUUGAACAUAUAUAACAAGGAAGCUUAAAGUACCCUGUAGAGAUGUGUUAUCCUGGACACCAUACCCCAACAAUCAGAUACAAUUUGCAAUAAUGACACCCAAACAAAAGACACCGAUUUGCACUGUGAUUUUAGCUACCUGCCACAAGAAAUGAUACACUGGUCUAGUACAGCCUAUAUAACAGGACAAGGCUAAAGCACCCCUCCAUUGACUUGAUAGUGAGGGUUGAUUUUGACCAUCAGUAAUUGGGGGAUUGGAAUACUGUGACCUGCACAGUGAGGACCCCCCCCCCCCCCACACACACACACACACACACACACAUACAACUCUCUGUGUAGUGCAAUGCUGCUUAACUCUUUGAAAUGUCAAGGGACACCAAUCAGUAUCUAUUCUUCUAUGACAAAAGUGAUUUAAAUGUGUUUAUUUUUUUGAAUCCAGAACAUGUAAUUAUGUGUCUCUUGUGGAGUGCUUGGUCUACUUGUGAAAGUCAUAGUAUCCCAACACUGUUUCUCUCCAUUACGUCCACAACUGUCACUUGGGCUUGAUCAAGCUUCAUGUUCUGUAUCUUUUAAUGUGAGGACAAUUCUAGUUCGAAGUCUGUAUCUGUGGAGCAUUUGUUGGCAUUCUGAAGUGCAUGCUAUAAAAAAAGACAACAUAUCAAAUUGUAAAACAGGAUGACAACAUAUAUCACGUUCUAAGCGAUGUGUAAAAUGAAAUGCCAUGUGAGAAAAUCACAUAAACAUAUUUAACUUUUAAA